RNAcentral lists this ribosomal RNA (114 nucleotides) under Neogale vison (American mink). The record is from RNAcentral. Lineage: Eukaryota; Metazoa; Chordata; Mammalia; Carnivora; Mustelidae.
GUCUACGGCCAUACCACCCUGAACGCGCCCGAUCUCGUCUGAUCUUGGAAGCUAAGCAGGGUCGGGCCUGGUUAGUACUUGGAUGGGAGAAAAAGAAAUAACAUGAAGCUAACU